This 271-nucleotide ribosomal RNA is filed under the name uncultured prokaryote. Its description in RNAcentral is "partial 16S ribosomal RNA". It matches the Rfam family "Bacterial small subunit ribosomal RNA", at positions 524 to 794 of the family's 1533-position model. The record is from RNAcentral.
UACGGAGGAUCCGAGCGUUAUCCGGAUUUAUUGGGUUUAAAGGGUCCGCAGGCGGGAGAUUAAGUCGGCGGUGAAAUUUUGCAGCUCAACUGUAAAAGUGCCUUCGAAACUGGUUUCCUUGAGUGUGGAUGAAGUAGGCGGAAUUUGUGGUGUAGCGGUGAAAUGCAUAGAUAUCACGAGGAACUCCGAUUGCGCAGGCAGCUUACUAAACCAUAACUGACGCUCAGGCACGAAGGCGUGGGGAUCAAACAGGAUUAGAUACCCUGGUAGU